This is a long non-coding RNA of Gossypium arboreum, 402 nucleotides long. RefSeq lists it as uncharacterized. Lineage: Eukaryota; Viridiplantae; Streptophyta; Magnoliopsida; Malvales; Malvaceae. The record is from RefSeq and is a predicted model, not a curated record. The transcript has 2 exons.
AAGAAUUAAAUGGAUGAAAUAUGAAGUUUUAUUAAAAGAAAAAGGGGUGAAAAGAACAAAGUUUUGUCCAUCUUUGUUCAUCAUAGCUGAAAGUUAGAGAAGAGAAAGGAGAGGAGAAAGCUUUUGAGUAUUCGGUCAUUAGGAGGAGGAAAAUUGAAGGUAAUCCCCAACCAUAGUUGGCUUGGAGCUGUGAGGGAAUUCGGAGUGGCCACCUAUUCUGAAAGUUUGAUUUUCUUCUGGUGAACUGGACAUCCUUUUAUUUACGUUUGAAGUUUUGGGUUUUUAAAUGUAAUAAGGCCACUUAUUUAUUUUUGAUGUUUUUUUUAUAUGUAUUACUAAGAUAGGUAAUACUUAUUUUAACUGUUGAAAUUGGAUAGCUUUAGGGCGCGUUUUCAAAAACAA